GAGUCAGUGAAGCCAGUGCUCGACCUGACAAAUUCAAUCCUGUGUCGGGUGGAAUGAAUAACAUGUCUUCUGCUGCGCCCAUGGGUUCGCGACCAUGCGCCCUCGGCCUAUUUUGCUGUUGCUCCUCAUGUUUCUGCCUAUGCUGCCCGC
The sequence is a regulatory RNA element, 150 nucleotides long. It matches the Rfam family "Hepatitis E virus cis-reactive element". The record is from Rfam.